GGGAACGUCUUCAGUGAGAUUGAGGAGGCGUUCUCCAAAGGCAUCGGAUGGCUCAUCACCUUCUGUGCAGAGUCUGGAGACUGCCUGGAGCCUCGGACAAGGCAGAAGUUGGCGGGGAUGCUGGAUGGACUGGUGAAGGUGGGCUGGCUGGACUGUGUGAACCAGGAGCAGCUGUGCGAGAGCUUCCAGGUGAGCAGUGGAGCCACAGCCUUGUUUCCCCCAGGCAGCUCUCUUGACCAGGAGGGCAGUGUCCUGUGGCUGCACAGUCUGGACAGCAGAGAGAUCUACCAGCAAGUCCUGGAGCACUUGCCCCACCUUGAGCUGCUCAGCAU
Long non-coding RNA from Periophthalmus magnuspinnatus, 332 nucleotides. RefSeq lists it as uncharacterized. NCBI's taxonomy places the organism in Eukaryota, Metazoa, Chordata, Actinopteri, Gobiiformes, Gobiidae. The transcript is spliced from 5 exons. The record is from RefSeq and is a predicted model, not a curated record.